Molecule: transfer RNA, 72 nt
Filed under: Noturus baileyi (smoky madtom)
Lineage: Eukaryota; Metazoa; Chordata; Actinopteri; Siluriformes; Ictaluridae
Description: tRNA-Ile
Rfam family: tRNA
About the family: Transfer RNA (tRNA) molecules are approximately 80 nucleotides in length. Their secondary structure includes four short double-helical elements and three loops (D, anti-codon, and T loops).
Source: RNAcentral
GGAGCCGUGCCUGAAUGCCCAAGGACCACUUUGAUAGAGUGACAAAUGAAGGUUAAAGCCCUUCCUGCUCCU